Molecule: long non-coding RNA, 278 nt
Filed under: Mytilus galloprovincialis (Mediterranean mussel)
Lineage: Eukaryota; Metazoa; Mollusca; Bivalvia; Mytilida; Mytilidae
Source: RNAcentral
GUUGAUUCAACGCCUUGUUGAAAUUUUCUGGGUUCCUCUUUAUUACAUGCCUUGAAGAAUCUUUGUCUUUACAUUCUCGACGGAAUGCUUCGGUUCCAAUCUGGUUUGAUCGUCUUUCUUGCUGAAGCGCUGCUCCAAAUGAAUGCUUUUUUUAAGGCCUUGGAAUCAUCAUCUGUGCGAGCGUACUCAAAGCCAACAUCGGUCUGCAAUAUGGGGCCUACACACAUUUUUCUGUUUUCCCAUUGUCAUCUACCGGCAAAUCGUUCAAAUUGGUAAAU